Small nucleolar RNA from Alosa sapidissima (American shad), 72 nucleotides. Lineage: Eukaryota; Metazoa; Chordata; Actinopteri; Clupeiformes; Clupeidae. The record is from RefSeq and is a predicted model, not a curated record.
CUGGAGAUGAUGUAGAACUCACUGAGCUGAGACUAUCACUGAUGGUUUUAGUAUUCAUACUGCCUGAUCCAG